This 498-nucleotide ribosomal RNA is filed under the name uncultured bacterium. RNAcentral describes it as "partial 16S ribosomal RNA". It matches the Rfam family "Bacterial small subunit ribosomal RNA", at positions 29 to 523 of the family's 1533-position model. The record is from RNAcentral.
AUUGAACGCUGGCGGCAUGCCUUACACAUGCAAGUCGAACGGUAACGCGGGGCAACCUGGCGACGAGUGGCGAACGGGUGAGUAAUAUAUCGGAACGUGCCCAGUCGUGGGGGAUAACUGCUCGAAAGAGCAGCUAAUACCGCAUACGACCUGAGGGUGAAAGCGGGGGAUCUUCGGACCUCGCGCGAUUGGAGCGGCCGAUAUCAGAUUAGGUAGUUGGUGGGGUAAAGGCCUACCAAGCCGACGAUCUGUAGCUGGUCUGAGAGGACGACCAGCCACACUGGGACUGAGACACGGCCCAGACUCCUACGGGAGGCAGCAGUGGGGAAUUUUGGACAAUGGGGGCAACCCUGAUCCGGCCAUGCCGCGUGCGGGAAGAAGGCCUUCGGGUUGUAAACCGCUUUUGUCAGGGAAGAAAUCCUUUGGGCUAAUAACUCGGAGGGAUGACGGUACCUGAAGAAUAAGCACCGGCUAACUACGUGCCAGCCGCCGCCGUAA